AGAGUUUGAUCAUGGCUCAGAUUGAACGCUGGCGGCAGGCCUAACACAUGCAAGUCGAACGGUAACAGGAAGCAGCUUGCUGCUUCGCUGACGAGUGGCGGACGGGUGAGUAAUGUCUGGGAAGCUGCCUGAUGGAGGGGGAUAACUACUGGAAACGGUAGCUAAUACCGCAUAAUGUCGCAAGACCAAAGAGGGGGACCUUCGGGCCUCUUGCCAUCGGAUGUGCCCAGAUGGGAUUAGCUUGUUGGUGGGGUAACGGCUCACCAAGGCGACGAUCCCUAGCUGGUCUGAGAGGAUGACCAGCCACACUGGAACUGAGACACGGUCCAGACUCCUACGGGAGGCAGCAGUGGGGAAUAUUGCACAAUGGGCGCAAGCCUGAUGCAGCCAUGCCGCGUGUAUGAAGAAGGCCUUCGGGUUGUAAAGUACUUUCAGCGGGGAGGAAGGGAGUAAAGUUAAUACCUUUGCUCAUUGACGUUACCCGCAGAAGAAGCACCGGCUAACUCUGUGCCAGCAGCCGCGGUAAUACGGAGGGUGCAAGCGUUAAUCGGAAUUACUGGGCGUAAAGCGCACGCAGGCGGUUUGUUAAGUCAGAUGUGAAAUCCCCGGGCUCAACCUGGGAACUGCAUCUGAUACUGGCAAGCUUGAGUCUCGUAGAGGGGGGUAGAAUUCCAGGUGUAGCGGUGAAAUGCGUAGAGAUCUGGAGGAAUACCGGUGGCGAAGGCGGCCCCCUGGACGAAGACUGACGCUCAGGUGCGAAAGCGUGGGGAGCAAACAGGAUUAGAUACCCUGGUAGUCCACGCCGUAAACGAUGUCGACUUGGAGGUUGUGCCCUUGAGGCGUGGCUUCCGGAGCUAACGCGUUAAGUCGACCGCCUGGGGAGUACGGCCGCAAGGUUAAAACUCAAAUGAAUUGACGGUGGCCCGCACAAGCGGUGGAGCAUGUGGUUUAAUUCGAUGCAACGCGAAGAACCUUACCUGGUCUUGACAUCCACGGAAGUUUUCAGAGAUGAGAAUGUGCCUUCGGGAACCGUGAGACAGGUGCUGCAUGGCUGUCGUCAGCUCGUGUUGUGAAAUGUUGGGUUAAGUCCCGCAACGAGCGCAACCCUUAUCCUUUGUUGCCAGCGGUCCGGCCGGGAACUCAAAGGAGACUGCCAGUGAUAAACUGGAGGAAGGUGGGGAUGACGUCAAGUCAUCAUGGCCCUUACGACCAGGGCUACACACGUGCUACAAUGGCGCAUACAAAGAGAAGCGACCUCGCGAGAGCAAGCGGACCUCAUAAAGUGCGUCGUAGUCCGGAUUGGAGUCUGCAACUCGACUCCAUGAAGUCGGAAUCGCUAGUAAUCGUGGAUCAGAAUGCCACGGUGAAUACGUUCCCGGGCCUUGUACACACCGCCCGUCACACCAUGGGAGUGGGUUGCAAAAGAAGUAGGUAGCUUAACCUUCGGGAGGGCGCUUACCACUUUGUGAUUCAUGACUGGGGUGAAGUCGUAACAAGGUAACCGUAGGGGACCCGCGGUUG
Molecule: ribosomal RNA, 1521 nt
Filed under: metagenome
Description: bacterial SSU rRNA
Rfam family: Bacterial small subunit ribosomal RNA
Source: RNAcentral